This 483-nucleotide ribosomal RNA is filed under the name uncultured bacterium. Its description in RNAcentral is "bacterial SSU rRNA". It matches the Rfam family "Bacterial small subunit ribosomal RNA", at positions 25 to 518 of the family's 1533-position model. The record is from RNAcentral.
CAGGAUGAACGCUGGCGGCGUGCUUAACACAUGCAAGUCGAACGAAGCAUUCCAACUCUCGGAGGAAGAAAUGACUGAGUGGCGGACGGGUGAGUAACGCGUGGGUAACCUGCCUUAUACAGGGGGAUAACAGUUAGAAAUGACUGCUAAUACCGCAUAACCCGCUAGUACCGCAUGGUACAGACGGAAAAGAUUUAUCGGUAUAAGAUGGACCCGCGUCUGAUUAGCUAGUUGGUGAGGUAAUGGCUCACCAAGGCGACGAUCAGUAGCCGGCUUGAGAGAGUGAACGGCCACAUUGGGACUGAGACACGGCCCAAACUCCUACGGGAGGCAGCAGUGGGGAAUAUUGCACAAUGGGGGAAACCCUGAUGCAGCAACGCCGCGUGAAGGAAGAAGUAUUUCGGUAUGUAAACUUCUAUCAGCAGGAAAGAAAAUGACGGUACCUGACUAAGAAGCCCCGGCUAACUACGUGCCAGCAGCCGC